This 830-nucleotide long non-coding RNA is filed under the name Mytilus galloprovincialis (Mediterranean mussel). The record is from RNAcentral. Lineage: Eukaryota; Metazoa; Mollusca; Bivalvia; Mytilida; Mytilidae.
CUGGAGCUGGCAUGUCAGUUAACUGCUAGUAGUCUGUUGUUAUUUAUGUAUUAUUGUCAUUUUGUUUAUUUUCUUUGGUUACAUCUUCUGACAUCAGACUCGGACUUCUCUUGAACUGAAUUGUAAUGUGCGUAUUGUUAUGCAUUUACUUUUCUUCAUUGGCUAGAGGUAUAGGGGGAGGGUUGAGAUCUCAUAAACAUGUUUAACCCCGCCACAUUUUUGAGCCUGUCCCAAGUCAGGAGCCUCUCAACUUUGUUAGUCUUGUAUUAUUUUUAAUUAAAGUUUCUUGUGUACAAUUUGGAGUUUAGUAUGGCGUUCAUUAUCACUGAACUAGUAUAUCGUCGCUGUUAUGCAAAAACCUCGUAUCUCAAUUUUUUGCGGAAAUCUUUUUAUCGAUUAUUUAGGAUUAAAUAUGUAUGUUCCACUGUAUGCGAAAAUAUCUGAUCUUCUAACCAAUCAUUAAUCCGAAUUCUGACAAUUGUGACGAAAAAGUGUAGUCGGAUUGGUGAGACAUUUUGUUGUGCGAAAAUAUCGUAUCUCAAAAGAAAAACACUUUGCACGGCAGCUGACAUUAUAAUAGGUACAGUUUUAUCAUUUUAGGUUCUCAAAGCUAAUAAAAAUAAUGAAAAGCUUUGAAAAUACAAUAUAGGUGCAGAAAUGUUUGCUCGUCUUGGUAAUUGAUUGGUUAGAAGAUCAGAUAUUUUCGCAUACAGUGGAACAUACAUAAUAUUUAAUUCUAAAUAAUCGAUAAAAAGAUUUCAGUUUUAACUGCCUGUUGUAAAAUUAUCAAAACCUUAGAUACGAGGUUUUUGCAUAACAGCGACGAUAUA